This 254-nucleotide ribosomal RNA is filed under the name uncultured bacterium. RNAcentral describes it as "partial 16S ribosomal RNA". It matches the Rfam family "Bacterial small subunit ribosomal RNA", at positions 524 to 776 of the family's 1533-position model. The record is from RNAcentral.
UACGGGGGGAGCAAGCGUUGUUCGGAUUUACUGGGCGUAAAGGGCGCGUAGGCGGCCACCGCAAGUCGACUGUGAAAUCUCCGGGCUUAACCCGGAAAGGUCAGCCGAUACUGCGGGGCUAGAGUGCAGAAGGGGCAACUGGAAUUCUCGGUGUAGCGGUGAAAUGCGUAGAUAUGUGUCGGAACACCAAUGGCGAAAGCAAUCUCCUGGACGCAAACUGACGCUGAGAUACGAAAGCCAAGGUAGCAAACAGG